This 29-nucleotide non-coding RNA is filed under the name Homo sapiens (human). Lineage: Eukaryota; Metazoa; Chordata; Mammalia; Primates; Hominidae. The record is from RNAcentral.
UAGGUUCUGGGACCUGGGGGAAAGGAUGG